GACUCUGAACAGUGGAUCACUCUGCUCAUGCAUCGAUCAAGAACACAGCUAGCUGCGGGAACUAAUGUGAAUUGCAGGACACAUUAAUCAUCAACACUUUGAACGCACUUUGUGGCCCCGGGUUACUCACAGGGCUAUGCCUGUCUGAGGGUCA
Ribosomal RNA from Protopterus annectens (West African lungfish), 154 nucleotides. RefSeq annotates it as 5.8S ribosomal RNA. The transcript has a single exon. Lineage: Eukaryota; Metazoa; Chordata; Ceratodontiformes; Protopteridae. The record is from RefSeq and is a predicted model, not a curated record.